RNAcentral lists this ribosomal RNA (505 nucleotides) under uncultured bacterium. RNAcentral's name for it is "bacterial SSU rRNA". It matches the Rfam family "Bacterial small subunit ribosomal RNA", at positions 8 to 518 of the family's 1533-position model. The record is from RNAcentral.
AGAGUUUGAUUAUGGCUCAGGAUGAACGCUGGCGGCGUGCCUAACACAUGCAAGUCGAACGGAGAUAGCGGAAAGCUGCUUUCUACUAUCUUAGUGGCGGACGGGUGAGUAACGCGUGGGUAACCCUACCCUGUACAGGGGGAUAGCAGCUGGAAACGGCUGAUAAAACCGCAAUAAAACGGCAGUACCGCAUGGUACAACCGUCAAAUAUUUAUAGGUACAGGAGUCGGGCCCGCGUCUGAUUAGCCAGUUGGUGGGGUAAUGGCCUACCAAAGCGACGAUCAGUAGCCGGCCUGAGAGGGUGAACGGCCACAUUGGGACUGAGACACGGACCCAAACUCCUACGGGAGGCAGCAGGUGGGGAAUAUUGGACAAUGGGGGGAACCCUGAUCCAGCGACGCCGCCGUGAGUGAAGAAGUAUCUCGGUAUGUAAAGCUCUAUCAGCAGGGAAGAUGAUGACGGUACCUGACUAAGAAGCACCGGCUAAAUACGUGCCAGCAGCUGC